CUUCUAAUUUUAUUUUUAUUUUUUUCUUGCUAGUGACAAUGGGGGCAUUCUGUCUCUCUGGCAGCUGAAUUCCAGGAAACUACCAGCAUGAGGGUUAAUAGCAGCUGUAUUUUCUGGGUCUUUGGAAGGUGCCAGCAGCAUCUCCAGUCAUGACAAUAAGAAAUAUUUCCAGACCUCACCAAGUAUUCCCUAUAGGACAAAAUUGUUCCCAGGUGAGAACCAAUUCCUUACAGAUAUAGAAGAGGAGGACCACUUUGGCCAUGAACAUUUACAGAUAUAGAAGAGGAUGACCACUUUGGCCAUGAACAUUUGGGAUAAGGCCAGGACUUGGAUGCAAAUCUCUUGAUAUUCAGAUUUUAUUCUUCACAUGGACCAGAUUUUUAAAACAUUGCCCAGCUUUCUGGUUUAUGUUCAUCUAUAGGAGAUACUGCCUUAAUGGUAUGACAGAUGGUCAGCUGCUCAAAUGUGAAGAUUUAGUCUAAAACGAAAUCUGUAAACCUGCUCAGAAGCCUGGAAAACAUCUCCAUUUUUCUUUAAGUUUCCCCUCCAACUGUCUCUCCAUCGAAGAACAAAGGAAAAUCAGUUGGAACCGACAUCAGGUCCUGUGAAAAGCUGCCGUGGUCCCUGUCCUCAUGCACCAUGUAGUCUAGUGGGGAGUUGGACCUUGAGUUAAUCACUAACAGGAAAUGCUUAAGUAAAUAAUGACAAAGGCAAGUGCUAAGAAGAAAAGUAUGGAGUCCAAGCUGACCAGGCAUGCAAGGUGGCUCAAGGGAAAAAAAGGACAAGGUCUGGCAAAUGAGAGGAAUUAAGUAAAUUAAGUUAUUUAUGGAGAAAGAAGGGGAAGACUGUCUUACACAGUGGGGAUAGCAUUUGCAAAGGGACUGAGGUUGAGGACUGAUUUUUACUAUGGCUGGGAUAAAAUGAAUCAAGGGGAGGGGCAAUGGGUGAAAUGAACUGAGAUGAAACAGGGAUGAAGGCACAGGCCAGCUCACAGCUCAGGUUGUGUGAACAAUUUUGGACUUGAUCAUUCAGAAGGGGGAGCAAUGAAGAGCCUUAAGUAGAAGACAAACAUGAAGAAAUUUAUGUUUCAUUAAGAUCCUGCUGACUAUCGGGUAAAAAGUGUGUUGAAGAGUUAGGAAUGGAGACAAGGAAUCAUUUAAAAUGCCACUGUGGCUGUCCAGCUGAGAUUUGGUAGCUUACCUUGAUGGGUAAUUGGAAUGGAUUGAAGAGGAGUGAUUUUAGAGAUAUUUAGCUAAUUAGGAAGUGGAACCCAAAAGAUUGGGGACUGACUAAAUGGGCAGGGGAGAGGGAGAGGUGAAAGAAGAGGUGCUAAAGAGGACAGACAUUAAGACAGUUUCUGUAAAGCGAUUGCAGCCCAAUUCAAGCUGACUUGCGCCUCAAUAAAAAUUUAUUAAUAAAUACUAGAAAAGUCUGGGGAUAGAUCAGAUGCUUCAGAUAUUGCUGGACCCAGGAGUUCAGAUGAUGUCUUUAGAAGUAGCUCUCUCCUAUCUUUUUUAUCUGCAGUUUUGGCUUCACCCUUUUGACAAAGCUUUCUUUAUGGUGACAGGAUCAUUGCUGAUGACUCCAGGUUUAUAUCCUCAUAGGGCAGCAACUCUAGAAGAAGGGAAUUUUUCAAUAUUUUCAGCAACUAUUCUAGAAUGAAGCAUCUUGGCUAGACCUAGGUAAUAUGUUUACCCCUGGAGCUUGAGGGUAGAAUCAAUUCCACCUACAGCAAAUACACAUAAAGUGGAGAAGGGAAUUUGAAGAGCUAUUACCAUUACAAUGGUGAAUGGAUGGCAGGUAGGCAGGAAUGACAGUACUUAUUACACAGAACUCCUCCAAUUUUUAUGGUCUCAACUGUGUGGAUAAGGAGAUUUUACCCAUGAGGAAGAGUAUAGUAUUGAGGGGAAAUAUCACAAGUUCAGAGGCUUUUCUGAGGCUUAUUAGACUUUUUCAUUGGGAUACAGAGUAAGCAGAUGGAUACAUGGAUCUGAUGCUCGGUAGAAAGUUCUUAGCAGUAGUUCAAAUCUUGGGAGAUAUCAGUGUACAGGAUACUGAUAAGAUCAUCUGAGGAGUGUGUCGAAUGUGAAGAGGAAAUUUAAUAGCUGGGGUAAAGGAAGAGGAGAAGGCUGUAGAACACAAUAUAAAAGAAGGUCUAGUCUGUUAGUUAGAAGGAAACCUUGUGGUAAUGAUGCCAUGAAAGUCCAGACUCUUUCCUGAAAGUAAGGAUGGAAUGGCUUACUGUGUGCCAUGCCUCUGAGAGAGAAAAUCAGAUGACGAUGUGUACCUUGAACAGGGAAACAUGGUGAUGCUUGGUGACCUUAGUCACUGGGACAGGUUUAGGUAGAGCAAAGAAGAAGAAGGCACAAUUAGUAUGGGGUUAAAGAAUGAAUAAGAAUUGAAAUGAUAGCAAAAUUUAGAAAUUUUCCACAAAGGAGUACAGAUUGACAAAACAAUGUCUGGAACAGGAAAUGGUCUAAGGAAAGUUUUUGUUGUUGCUGUUGUUGAUUUAAUUUUUUUUUGUAAAGCAACUUGAAUAUAUUAAAAAGAAAGUUGGAAAUGCCCAAGAUAAAAGACUGCAGAAGAUGGGAUUCAAGGCACAGGUUAAUGGAGAAAACUUGGUAUAGAGAAGGACCAACUGCUUCAAUGCAAUUGAAAGGGAAAAGGAUGAGUACUGCUACAGGAAAGUGUGUGGGUCUAGUGACCAGAAGUUGCAGUCAUUCUCUGAUAAUGGUGUCCAUUACAAAGUUACAUUAUCUCCUUAGAGUGAAUUUGAGGAGAGUUGAGAGAUUUGAGGAGAGUUGAGAGACUUAAAACAAUGUGCAGAAAAAUGAUCUCAAGCUAGAACAUGAUCUAUAAGCAAUGCCUAUGACUGGGAGGCCAAGUUGGCCUGAUCUGACCAGUUGGCUAUUUCCUAUGAUAGAGCUCAAUAGCCUCUGUAUGGAACCUGAGAAGAUGGAUGGCUGGUCCUCUGGAUAUGAUGGAAGAGCAAAAUUUGACCUAGGAAUUGAUGGAGUAAAACCCUACCAUAACAUUUCACAUGGGGCUGUGGGCAAAAAUUCAACUACAAAAAAAUGGAGAACAUUUUUAUGGUUAGCUUAGUGAAAUGAGAAUGGGCACUGGUAAAGGAUAGGAGCCAACCCACCAAAUACUGUCAUUAAAUUCAUUAAAUUUACAUUACCACAGGAAGUUCUCAUGGGCUUUUACUGAGUUUCCAGGAGAAUGAUUGAAAAGAUGAACACUAGAAUCUUUGUUGGGUAGGGAAGAAGGGUGGAAAGGUGGAUACCGGAAACAAGGAGAAGGAAAUUGACAAUAGAAGGUCCUAAAGAGGUGAGAGAAUACAUGUGAAAAACAUAUUGUCCAUAAGUGGCACAGUCAGGCUUAGAAGGAAGAGGAGGCCAUGAUCCAUGGAAUAAAAAUAACUGAGGCAUUAGAAGGCCCAGGUUCUGGUACAAGCUUACUAACCAUGGUGGUCUGGCUGCUUGCUUCAUUGUCCUCAUUUAAAAUUGAGAAUAAUGCUAUCUUUCCCACUCAUCUUACUGAGCUGUUGCCAGCAAUUAGCUGAAGUACUGUGGAUAUGAGCUAUAU
Molecule: non-coding RNA, 3588 nt
Organism: Ictidomys tridecemlineatus (thirteen-lined ground squirrel)
Lineage: Eukaryota; Metazoa; Chordata; Mammalia; Rodentia; Sciuridae
Source: RefSeq, a predicted model, not a curated record